AUUGAACGCUGGCGGCAUGCCUUACACAUGCAAGUCGAACGGCAGCACGGGUGCUUGCACCUGGUGGCGAGUGGCGAACGGGUGAGUAAUACAUCGGAACAUGUCCUGUAGUGGGGGAUAGCCCGGCGAAAGCCGGAUUAAUACCGCAUACGAUCUACGGAUGAAAGCGGGGGACCUUCGGGCCUCGCGCUAUAGGGUUGGCCGAUGGCUGAUUAGCUAGUUGGUGGGGUAAAGGCCUACCAAGGCGACGAUCAGUAGCUGGUCCGAGAGGACGACCAGCACCCCGGGGACGAGGACCCGCCCCCACACCCGGCGGGAGGCACGAGUGGGGAAUUUUGGACAAGGGGCAAAAGCCUAUACCAGAAAUGCCGCGGGUGUCAAAAACGCCUUCGGGUUGUAAAGCACUUUUGCCCGAAAAGAAACCCUUGCCCCUAAAAGGGCGGGGGGAUACCGGUCCCGGAGAAAAAGGCCCCGCCAACCUCCGU
RNAcentral lists this ribosomal RNA (485 nucleotides) under uncultured bacterium. RNAcentral describes it as "partial 16S ribosomal RNA". It matches the Rfam family "Bacterial small subunit ribosomal RNA", at positions 29 to 506 of the family's 1533-position model. The record is from RNAcentral.